Molecule: long non-coding RNA, 2744 nt
Organism: Tympanuchus pallidicinctus (lesser prairie-chicken)
Lineage: Eukaryota; Metazoa; Chordata; Aves; Galliformes; Phasianidae
Exons: 8
Source: RefSeq, a predicted model, not a curated record
AUCCUCUGGCCUCGGCGCAGCAGUGCUGAAGUGCUGAGAGCUACGACCUCAUCUGCAGCACCCAAGAGGGCUCUGCUGAGCAUUUCCUCCCCAGCGCCUCCCGGUUUCAUUUGAAGAGGAUCCAUCACCGCUUCGUGUGCCUUUGAGCGCGGCCUGAGAGGCAGGGAGCCUUCCAAACCCCUUUCUCCAGCUUCAAAACUGCUCAUAUCCAAAGUAAAAAUACCAACAUUUCCACCUCUGAGCAGCAGAAUCCCGGCGUGAAGCCCCCGACCCCACACUGAGGCAGGGGUCCCCACUGCCCAUCCCCUGUGGAGCCACAGCUGUGUUCCCCCCAGCAGCAUGGAGCCAUCCCUGCUCCCCUCGGCUUUUCUGGCUGCUGAGUGCGGCUGCCAGGAAGGGAAGAAGGGAGGGAAGGAGGGAAGGAAGUGCCAUUGCUCCCAAGGUGGGAGAAUGCUGUACGUGGGGUCCUGAGGUGGCACCAUGUCCUGAGAUGGGAGAUGAUAAGUGGUCCCAAAAUGGGAGAUGGCACCGUGUCCUGAGAUGGGAGGUCCCAUAUGGUCCCAAGAUGGGAGAUGGCACCAUGUCCUGAGAUGGGAGGUUCCAUCUGGUCCCAAGAUGGGAGAUGGCACCAUGUCCUGAGAUGGGAGGUUCCAUAUGGUCCCAAGAUGGGAGAUGGCACCGUGUCCUGAGAUGGGAGGUCCCAUAUGGUCCCAAGAUGGGAGAUGGCACCGUGUCCUGAGAUGGGAGGUUCCAUCUGGUCCCAAGAUGGGAGAUGGCACCAUGUCCUGAGAUGGGAGGUUCCAUCUGGUCCCAAGAUGGGAGAUGGCACCAUGUCCUGAGAUGGGAGGUUCCAUCUGGUCCCAAGAUGGGAGAUGGCACCAUGUCCUGAGAUGGGAGGUUCCAUAUGGUCCCAAGAUGGGAGAUGGCACCAUGUCCUGAGAUGGGAGGUUCCAUAUGGUCCCAAGAUGGGAGAUGGCACCAUGUCCUGAGAUGGGAGGUUCCAUAUGGUCCCAAGAUGGGAGAUGGCACCAUGUCCUGAGAUGGGAGGUUCCAUAUGGUCCUAAGAUGGGAGGUGGCACCGUGUCCUGAGAUGGGAGGUUCCAUAUGGUCCCAAGAUGGGAGAUGUCAUGUGUUCCCAAAAUGGGAGAUGGGCGAACGCUACAUCAGGUGGGAGAUAUCACACGAUUCUAAGACUGGAGAUGCCAAGCAAUGCCAACAUGGGAAAUGCUACUCUUCUCAAGAGAUGCUGCGCUUUCCCAAGAUGGAAGAUGCCAUUUGUCCCAAGAUAUGAGAUGCCACCUGGUCCCAAAAGAGGAGAUGGCGCAGUGUCCCAAUGUGGGAGAUGCUGCACAUUGCCAAGAUGGGAGAUAUUGCAGUGUGCUGAGGUGGGAGAUUCCGUGUGGUGCAAGGGUGGGAGAUGCCACGUGGUUCCACCAUGGGGAAUUCUGUGCUGCUGAAAUGGGAGAUGCUGCAUGAGAUGGGAGGUGCCGUGCGAUCCCAAGGUGGGAGAUGCCACACAAGAUGGGAGAUGCCACAUGGCCGUGAGAUCGGAGGUGGCACAGUGUCCUGAGAUGGGAGGUUUCACACCGUCCCAAGAUGGGAGAAUGCUACACAAAGUGGGACGUGCUGCCCAGUCCCUAUGUGGGAAAUCAGAUAAGAGAUAAGAGAUGCUGACAUUCCUGAGAUGGGAGAUGCCACCUGGUCCUGAGACAGGAAAUGCUGCAUGGACCUGGGAGAUGCUGCACGAGAUGGGAGAUGCCACACAAGAUGGGAGGUGCCAUAGGGUCCCAAGAUGGGAGAUGCUGCACGUUCCCCAGAUGGGAGAUACCACGGCGUCCUGAGAUGGGAGAUGCUGGGUGGCCCCAGGACAGAAAAACCACAGAAGAUGGGAUGUGCCACGUGAUCCCAAGGUGGGAAACGGCACGGUGUCCCAAGAUGGGAGAUUCCUUGUUGUCCCAAGGUGGGAGAUGGUGCGGAUUGGAGGCGCCGUGUGGACUCACAGUGGGAGGUGCUGCACACCCCCAAGACGGGAGAUGCCACGGAGUCCCGAGAUGGGAGAUGCUGUACAGUCCCAGGACAGGAGAUGCUGCAUGGUCCUGACACGGAAGAUGCUGCAGCAGGGGAGAUGCCAUGCUGACCUAAGCCAGAAGGUGCUGCUCCCACCCGAGAUGGGAGAUGCCACAUGUCGUAGCUCCGGCUGCCAUCACCAGGCUCCUCUGCGCAGCGCUGACCUGGGCUUUCCCAGUCCACAUUUGCUAUGGGACAGGCGAUGGCCAGGCUCCUUCUGCUGAGCCCCCAUCGCCCAGCAGAUCCCCGGGGCUCCUCCACACACCGUGCCCCAUCCCCCACCUCCCCCAUCCCCAUUUUGCACGCACCCCCAGCGUCGCUCUGAGCCUCGUCCCACAGAUCCCCGUGCCCUCGACCCACCAGUGAUGCUGGGGAGCUUCAUUGCCCUGCAGCCUGCAGGCCUGCCGAGCAAGCCGUGCCGGGGGGAGCGCCGGGCUCACAGCGCUGCACGUGUAAUUGAUUUCCCCAGGAAACCCGGCCCAGCUGCAGCAUCUGGUCCUCACCAAGGCUGCCUUUACCUGCUGCUGCAGCCAGGCUCCGGCACGGCACGGAGCUCCUGGCGCUGCGGAACCGGGGCUGCGCUGGGCUGGAAGGAAGGAGGCUUCUGCCUUGGCUCUGAACCGUACCCAUUUUUAAUUAUACGAGCUGCUCAGGCUUUAUAUUAUCGUAUCAAUGAC